GUGAAUCAUCAAAUUUUUGAACGCAAAUUGCACUCUCUGCUGAUAGGAGGCCUAUUUGAGUUUCAGCCUAAAAAAAAUCGACAUAGUUGCUUUGUCGCGGUGACAUUCGUCGGAAUUUGGGUCAUCUUAAACCUUCGGGUUUUAAGCGGCUUAAAAUUUUCUUUACGAUUCCACGAAAGUUUCUGAUAUUUUACUUCUUACACGUUUAAGGUAUCGAUCUUUAUUAAACGUUGCGGUUGCGUUGGAUCACGUCCAUAAAGAUUUC
This 265-nucleotide unclassified non-coding RNA is filed under the name Glomus sp. Its description in RNAcentral is "partial internal transcribed spacer 2". Lineage: Eukaryota; Fungi; Glomeromycota; Glomeromycetes; Glomerales; Glomeraceae. The record is from RNAcentral.